AGGGUGUAAACGCUGCAGACUUGGUGUUGGAGGCCCUUUGGGGGCAUUCAGUGCCGGAGAGAAGUUGUUAAGUCUGCUACUUGGGGAGUACGUCCGCAAGGAUGAAACUUAAAGGAAUUGGCGGAGGAGCACCGCAACGGGAGGAGCGUGCGGUUUAAUUGGAUUCAACACCGUAAAACUCACCAGGGAAGACUGUUACAUGAAGGCCGAGAUGAAGACUCUGCUAGAUUUUCAGAGAGGAGGUGCAUGGCGUCAGUGACU
Molecule: ribosomal RNA, 261 nt
Filed under: uncultured archaeon
Lineage: Archaea
Description: partial 16S ribosomal RNA
Rfam family: Archaeal small subunit ribosomal RNA
Source: RNAcentral